This 503-nucleotide ribosomal RNA is filed under the name uncultured bacterium. RNAcentral's name for it is "partial 16S ribosomal RNA". It matches the Rfam family "Bacterial small subunit ribosomal RNA", at positions 30 to 523 of the family's 1533-position model. The record is from RNAcentral.
AUUGAACGCUGGCGGCAGGCUUAACACAUGCGAGUCGAGCGGGGUGAUGGUGCUUGCACUAUCACUUAGCGGCGGACGGGUGAGUAAUGCUUAGGAAUCUGCCUAUUAGUGGGGGACAACAUCUCGAAAGGGAUGCUAAUACCGCAUACGUCCUACGGGAGAAAGCAGGGGAUCACUCGUGACCUUGCGCUAAUAGAUGAGCCUAAGUCGGAUUAGCUAGUUGGGGGGGUAAAGGCCUACCAAGGCGACGAUCUGUAGCGGGUCUGAGAGGAUGAUCCGCCACACUGGGACUGAGACACGGCCCAGACUCCUACGGGAGGCAGCAGUGGGGAAUAUUGGACAAUGGGGGGAACCCUGAUCCAGCCAUGCCGCGUGUGUGAAGAAGGCCUUAUGGUUGUAAAGCACUUUAAGCGAGGAGGAGGCUCUUUUGGUUAAUACCCAAGAUGAGUGGACGUUACUCGCAGAAUAAGCACCGGCUAACUCUGUGCCAGCAGCCGCGGUAA